RNAcentral lists this ribosomal RNA (861 nucleotides) under uncultured bacterium. RNAcentral describes it as "bacterial SSU rRNA". It matches the Rfam family "Bacterial small subunit ribosomal RNA", at positions 583 to 1445 of the family's 1533-position model. The record is from RNAcentral.
UUAAGCAGGAUGUGAANUCCCCGGGCUCAACCUGGGAACUGCGUUNUGAACUGGGUAGCUAGAGUAUNUCAGAGGGGGGUAGAAUUCCACGUGUAGCAGUGAAAUGCGUAGAGAUGUGGAGGAAUACCGAUGGCGAAGGCAGCCCCCUGGGAUAAUACUGACGUUCAUGCUCGAAAGCGUGGGUAGCAAACAGGAUUAGAUACCCUGGUAGUCCACGCCCUAAACGAUGUCGAUUAGCUGUUGGGCAACUUGAUUGCUUAGUAGCGUAGCUAACGCGUGAAAUCGACCGCCUGGGGAGUACGGUCGCAAGAUUAAAACUCAAAGGAAUUGACGGGGACCCGCACAAGCGGUGGAUGAUGUGGAUUAAUUCGAUGCAACGCGAAGAACCUUACCUGGUCUUGACAUGUACGGAAGAACUCAGAGACGAGUUUGUGCCUUCGGGAGCCGUAACACAGGUGCUGCAUGGCUGUCGUCAGCUCGUGUCGUGAGAUGUUGGGUUAAGUCCCGCAACGAGCGCAACCCUUGUCAUUAGUUGCCAUCAUUUAGUUGGGCACUCUAAUGAGACUGCCGGUGACAAACCGGAGGAAGGUGGGGAUGACGUCAAGUCCUCAUGGCCCUUAUGACCAGGGCUUCACGCGUCAUACAAUGGUCGGUACAGAGGGUAGCCAAGCCGCGAGGUGGAGCCAAUCCCAGAAAACCGAUCGUAGUCCGGAUUGCACUCUGCAACUCGAGUGCAUGAAGUCGGAAUCGCUAGUAAUCGCAGGUCAGCAUACUGCGGUGAAUACGUUCCCGGGUCUUGUACACACCGCCCGUCACACCAUGGGAGUGGGGGAUACCAGAAGUAGGUAGGGUAACCGCGAG